This 447-nucleotide ribosomal RNA is filed under the name uncultured Myxococcales bacterium. RNAcentral describes it as "bacterial SSU rRNA". It matches the Rfam family "Bacterial small subunit ribosomal RNA", at positions 349 to 789 of the family's 1533-position model. The record is from RNAcentral. Lineage: Bacteria; Pseudomonadati; Myxococcota; Myxococcia; Myxococcales.
CAGCAGUAGGGAAUCUUCCGCAAUGGGCGAAAGCCUGACGGAGCGACGCCGCGUGAGUGAUGAAGGCCUUCGGGUUGUAAAGCUCUGUGGGGAGAGAAGAAUAAGUUCAGGUGAAUAUCCUGAAUGAUGACGGUAUCUCCUUAGCAAGCACCGGCUAACUCUGUGCCAGCAGCCGCGGUAAGACAGAGGGUGCAAACGUUGUUCGGAUUUACUGGGCGUAAAGCGCGUGUAGGCGGCUUGGCAAGUCGGAUGUGAAAGCCCACGGCUCAACCGUGGAAGCGCACCCGAAACGGCCUCGCUCGAGUCUCGGAGAGGAAGGUGGAAUGCUUGGUGUAGAGGUGAAAUUCGUAGAUAUCAAGCAGAACACCUGCGGCGAAGGCGGCCUUCUGGACGAUGACUGACGCUGAGACGCGAAAGCGUGGGGAGCAAACAGGAUUAGAUACCCUG